UACGUAGGGGGCGAGCGUUGUCCGGAUUUAUUGGGCGUAAAGAGCGUGUAGGCGGUUCGGUAAGUCUGUCGUGAAAUCCUGAGGCUCAACCUCGGGCGUGCGAUGGAUACUGCCGGGCUAGAGGGUGGUAGAGGCGAGUGGAAUUCCCGGUGUAGCGGUGAAAUGCGCAGAUAUCGGGAGGAACACCAGUAGCGAAGGCGGCUCGCUGGGCCACACCUGACGCUGAGACGCGAAAGCCAGGGGAGCAAACGGG
This 253-nucleotide ribosomal RNA is filed under the name uncultured bacterium. RNAcentral describes it as "partial 16S ribosomal RNA". It matches the Rfam family "Bacterial small subunit ribosomal RNA", at positions 524 to 776 of the family's 1533-position model. The record is from RNAcentral.